AUACGGAGGGUGCAAGCGUUACUCGGAAUCACUGGGCGUAAAGCGCGCGCAGGCGGCUUGAUAAGUUGGAUGUGAAAGCCUACGGCUCAACUGUAGAACUGCAUCCAAAACUAUUUAGCUAGAGUGUGGGAGAGGAAGAUGGAAUUAGUUGUGUAGGGGUAAAAUCCGUAGAGAUAACUAGGAAUACCAAAAGCGAAGGCAAUCUUCUGGAACACUACUGACGCUGAGGCGCGAAGGCGUGGGGAGCAAACAGGAUUAGAAACCCGAGUAGUCC
This 274-nucleotide ribosomal RNA is filed under the name uncultured bacterium. RNAcentral describes it as "partial 16S ribosomal RNA". It matches the Rfam family "Bacterial small subunit ribosomal RNA", at positions 523 to 796 of the family's 1533-position model. The record is from RNAcentral.